GUCAGGAUGGCCGAGCGGUCUAAGGCGCCAGACUCAAGGUUCACCUUGCCCGCUUAACGCGGGCUCAAACGGGCGUUCUGGUCCUCUCUGAGGGCGUGGGUUCGAAUCCCACUUCUGACA
RNAcentral lists this transfer RNA (120 nucleotides) under Oryctes borbonicus. It matches the Rfam family "tRNA". From Rfam's summary of the family: Transfer RNA (tRNA) molecules are approximately 80 nucleotides in length. Their secondary structure includes four short double-helical elements and three loops (D, anti-codon, and T loops). Lineage: Eukaryota; Metazoa; Arthropoda; Insecta; Coleoptera; Scarabaeidae. The record is from Rfam by way of RNAcentral.